RNAcentral lists this ribosomal RNA (1229 nucleotides) under Cutibacterium acnes. RNAcentral describes it as "partial 16S ribosomal RNA". It matches the Rfam family "Bacterial small subunit ribosomal RNA", at positions 134 to 1373 of the family's 1533-position model. Lineage: Bacteria; Bacillati; Actinomycetota; Actinomycetes; Propionibacteriales; Propionibacteriaceae. The record is from RNAcentral.
GACUUUGGGAUAACUUCAGGAAACUGGGGCUAAUACCGGAUAGGAGCUCCUGCUGCAUGGUGGGGGUUGGAAAGUUUCGGCGGUUGGGGAUGGACUCGCGGCUUAUCAGCUUGUUGGUGGGGUAGUGGCUUACCAAGGCUUUGACGGGUAGCCGGCCUGAGAGGGUGACCGGCCACAUUGGGACUGAGAUACGGCCCAGACUCCUACGGGAGGCAGCAGUGGGGAAUAUUGCACAAUGGGCGGAAGCCUGAUGCAGCAACGCCGCGUGCGGGAUGACGGCCUUCGGGUUGUAAACCGCUUUCGCCUGUGACGAAGCGUGAGUGACGGUAAUGGGUAAAGAAGCACCGGCUAACUACGUGCCAGCAGCCGCGGUGAUACGUAGGGUGCGAGCGUUGUCCGGAUUUAUUGGGCGUAAAGGGCUCGUAGGUGGUUGAUCGCGUCGGAAGUGUAAUCUUGGGGCUUAACCCUGAGCGUGCUUUCGAUACGGGUUGACUUGAGGAAGGUAGGGGAGAAUGGAAUUCCUGGUGGAGCGGUGGAAUGCGCAGAUAUCAGGAGGAACACCAGUGGCGAAGGCGGUUCUCUGGGCCUUUCCUGACGCUGAGGAGCGAAAGCGUGGGGAGCGAACAGGCUUAGAUACCCUGGUAGUCCACGCUGUAAACGGUGGGUACUAGGUGUGGGGUCCAUUCCACGGGUUCCGCGCCGUAGCUAACGCUUUAAGUACCCCGCCUGGGGAGUACGGCCGCAAGGCUAAAACUCAAAGGAAUUGACGGGGCCCCGCACAAGCGGCGGAGCAUGCGGAUUAAUUCGAUGCAACGCGUAGAACCUUAUCUGGGUUUGACAUGGAUCGGGAGUGCUCAGAGAUGGGUGUGCCUCUUUUGGGGUCGGUUCACAGGUGGUGCAUGGCUGUCGUCAGCUCGUGUCGUGAGAUGUUGGGUUAAGUCCCGCAACGAGCGCAACCCUUGUUCACUGUUGCCAGCACGUUAUGGUGGGGACUCAGUGGAGACCGCCGGGGUCAACUCGGAGGAAGGUGGGGAUGACGUCAAGUCAUCAUGCCCCUUAUGUCCAGGGCUUCACGCAUGCUACAAUGGCUGGUACAGAGAGUGGCGAGCCUGUGAGGGUGAGCGAAUCUCGGAAAGCCGGUCUCAGUUCGGAUUGGGGUCUGCAACUCGACCUCAUGAAGUCGGAGUCGCUAGUAAUCGCAGAUCAGCAACGCUGCGGUGAAUACGUUC